GCACCGGGACCUCGUGGAUUCCCAGGUCGUGGUAUUCCUGGACCUCCUGGUCCUCCAGGGGGGGCAGGACUUCCGGGAGAGCUUGGCCGUGUUGGACCAAUUGGCGACCCUGGGAGAAGAGGACCACCUGGCCCCCCUGGCCCCCCGGGACCCAGCGGAACAAUUGGCUUUCAUGAUGGAGAUCCAUUGUGUCCCAAUUCCUGCCCACCAGGUCGCUCUGGAUAUCCAGGCCUGCCAGGCAUGAGGGGUCAUAAAGGGGCUAAAGGAGAGGUUGGUGAACCUGGAAGACAAGGUCACAAGGUAAGGACAGGAAUAUUUAGUACAUUUUGAUUCUGAGGUGUGACCCUUUUUAUUAUAAGGAAUUAAAAGGAAUAAUAAAUCAUGAUAUUUCACUCUUCCUUUUCCAAUGGCAAUUGACAAGUUCUGUAGAUACAUAAAUAUUCCGACAAAGCAUCAUAUCUAACAUUGUUCAAUUACCAAAAAAACCCCAAAACAAAGAAAGCACCACACAUUUUCAUUACCCCUUGCUUUCCUUUUCAAAUCAGUCACACUCAGCUCUUUUCCUGAUGCUUUUCGUAGUUAAAUGUUAUUCAAGCUAGUCUUUCCACUCCACUAAACAAAAUUUUAUGACAAGUGUAAAAUUUUAUGGCAAGUGUUGCUGAGACUAGCAAACAGAGAAGUUGGUAAUUGGUUUAUAGCUUCUCGUCUUAAGUUCUGACAUAAUUUAUCUGUUUAUUUCUUAUCUCAUUUUGAAAUAUCUUAGAUUUUGAGUAAUUUGGAAGUUAGCAAUAGCAUUAACAUUAUUAUCUGGGUGGAAAUUUUGAAUCCACAGUAUAAUUGGCAAUGGGAAUGGCAUGUCCUACAGAAAAACCAAGACUGAAAUUAAAACUCAGGUGACCUAUUUACUCUUUUUAAUCCAGUAGGAUGAAAUUGCUUUAGAGAAACUAAGGAUUUGACUUCUUAUGUAGUAGAAUUUUUGUCCAUGUUAAUUCCAUAAUAUUUUGUAGUCAACCUGUUCUUAUUAGUGCAGUACCUCUAGACUUUGUCAAAUAUGUCUUCCUACAUAUUUUAUUUUCUACACUUUUAUUGGGUGGCAGAAGAUUAGUCUUUUUCUUUUGAAGUUAAGAGCUUGAGAGGCAAUUUAUUAAUACCUUCAGUCAUUAAUAUUCUUGAACUCCUUAGGUA
RNAcentral lists this long non-coding RNA (1185 nucleotides) under Sus scrofa (pig). RNAcentral's name for it is "lncRNA (ENSSSCG00060060612.1)". The record is from RNAcentral. Lineage: Eukaryota; Metazoa; Chordata; Mammalia; Artiodactyla; Suidae.